This 468-nucleotide ribosomal RNA is filed under the name uncultured bacterium. Its description in RNAcentral is "partial 16S ribosomal RNA". It matches the Rfam family "Bacterial small subunit ribosomal RNA", at positions 28 to 507 of the family's 1533-position model. The record is from RNAcentral.
GACGAACGCUGGCGGCGUGCUUAACACAUGCAAGUCGAACGAAAAGGCCCUGCUUUUGUGGGGUGCUCGAGUGGCGAACGGGUGAGUAACACGUGAGUAACCUGCCCUUGACUUUGGGAUAACUUCAGGAAACCGGGGCUAAUACCGGAUAGGAGCUCCUGCUGCAUGGUGGGGGUUGGAAAGUUUCGGCGGUUGGGGAUGGACUCGCGGCUUAUCAGCUUGUUGGUGGGGUAGUGGCUUACCAAGGCUUUGACGGGUAGCCGGCCUGAGAGGGUGACCGGCCACAUUGGGACUGAGAUACGGCCCAGACUCCUACGGGAGGCAGCAGUGGGGAAUAUUGCACAAUGGGCGGAAGCCUGAUGCAGCAACGCCGCGUGCGGGAUGACGGCCUUCGGGUUGUAAACCGCUUUCGCCUGUGACGAAGCGUGAGUGACGGUAAUGGGUAAAGAAGCACCGGCUAACUACGUG